RNAcentral lists this ribosomal RNA (467 nucleotides) under Perccottus glenii (Chinese sleeper). RNAcentral's name for it is "partial 12S ribosomal RNA". It matches the Rfam family "Bacterial small subunit ribosomal RNA", at positions 868 to 1527 of the family's 1533-position model. The record is from RNAcentral. Lineage: Eukaryota; Metazoa; Chordata; Actinopteri; Gobiiformes; Odontobutidae.
CUCGCCAGGGAAUUACAAGCAUUAGCUUAAAACCCAAAGGACUUGGCGGUGCUUUAGAACCACCUAGAGGAGCCUGUUCUAGAACCGAUAACCCCCGUUCAACCUCACCCUUUCUUGUUAUUACCGCUUAUAUACCACCGUCGUCAGCUUACCCUGUAAAGGAUUAAUAGUAAGCAAAAAUGGUACAACCUAAUACGUCAGGUCGAGGUGUAGCGCAUGAAAGGGAAAGAAAUGGGCUACAUUCCCUGACUCAGGGAAUACGAAUGAUAAAUUGAAAUAAUUGUCUGAAGGUGGAUUUAGUAGUAAGAUGGAAAAUAGAGUGUUCCCCUGAAACCGGCCCUGAAGCGCGCACACACCGCCCGUCACUCUCCCCAAGCUCAUAAUUUAAUUAAAUAAAAAUAUAAUAACUGCAAAGGGGAGGCAAGUCGUAACAUGGUAAGUGUAUCGGAAGAUGCACUUGGAAAAAC